UUCCUAAUAUCCAAUCUUAACCUCCCUGGCACAACUUGAGACUGUUACUUUUGAUCCUAUUAUUGUUACGUGGGAGAAGAGGCCGCUGAAUUACAGAAUCAUACACACACAGAAUCAGAGCUCGGGGAUGUGCAGCAAAGGCCGUGUUCCUCGGGAUAUUGUGCAGGCAGAAGAUGAAUGACUCCAAGAGUUUAAACUACGUUAAAGUCCUUCAGAUCACCUUUGGAAAUGCUAGAGGAAGUGCAGUAAACAGAAAUCAAAGACCUUUUUUGUGUGUGUUUAAAUGGGCAGACAAAUUUCAAAUCUGAAAGAUCAUAAAUCUGUGUGUAUUUGCUUGAACAAGGUAUCCUAGCACAAAAGCCCUCUGAAGACAGGCCUGAUUUUCUGAUCAUGUCAAACAGAUCAGAGGAAAAUAUGACUUGAAAGACACAGUUAUUUUGAGUAGUCAGGAUAAAUUCUUUGUAAAUAUUUUGUUUUUAAUCCAGCUUCAGUAAGUGUAUCUCUGGGGGGUUUAGGACAUUUGAAUUUCCUUCAGUAAACCAGAUUGUUCUUGUUUGUUUUACAACCUAAAGGACAAAAAACUCAGAAAACAAGAAAAGAAAGGGGAAAUUCUUCACCGUCAGCUCCCAAAGAAAACUGAGAAAAGUCCAGUUUCAUAUAGACAGCCUUCUUCCUGUCUUAUCUCACAGAUACAGAACACCAAGGCUCUGCUGAGGGACCGAAAAGCUGCCAAGGCUGGAGGUGCUGAGAAAGACUCCACCAGUGGGCUGAGCCCCUUCCACGAGCCUUUGGCGACCAAGGCCGGCUGCAUCACCUCCAGCUCCCUGGAGUACCUUGAGGCCCAGCAGCCACUGCCCAGGACCCCCGGCUCCUGAAGAGGCAGGAGUCCCACAGCAGGAGCCAGUGCGGGGCGGGGGCCGGGCCAAGGACUCUCCCCUCAUCCUGAACAUUGUGCACUCCUUCGAGUCCGUUGACAGAGAGGACCAAACAGACCAGGUCUCCCCCUCCCACCAGUACAAGAUUUUAGGCUCACCGAUGAAUUUUCCUUCCAAAAGCUCGAGUGAAAGGACACUGUCCCCGCUUUUUCAGCCAGGAAGUACAUCCCCCAUCCACCCCAACCAGGUCUCUUUUACAUACGAGGAAAAAGCAUAUCCCACCAAGGAAGAAGCUGUGUCCCCUACUCAGCUGGUUUCCAACAACCCGUUGGGCAGCCCCAACUGUGUUAAAAGCAGGGGCAGGUUCCCCAUGAUGGGGAUCGGACAGAUGCUGCGGAAGAGGAACCAGGCGAUGCAGUCGGUGGGCGACAAACCGCUGGAAGCACGGAUGCCUCAGCUGCAACAGAUGAGCCCCACGCAGAUCACAUUCAGUGCAGAUGCUGUCAGCGGCCAGUGUUAGUCUGGCAGGCCAGGAUUUGUAUUUCUGUUGUCUGUGAUCCAGCCUUUUUUAUUUUUAAAAAGAAGGGAAAGCCACAGGCAUGUCACCAUCUCUACAUAACACAGUGCAGUGGUCCAAUGUAGAAAAUCAGAGGUCCUCUUGUAAGGAAGGGGUUGUCCUAUGUAUUAAAGUGAAAAGAAGAGUGCUCUGCUUGUGGUGUUAAGAAAUAUUAGCAUUAGGCAUCAGACUGUACAGUAAAACAUGUCUUGAAAAAGCCAUGUCAAUAUGUAUUUUCACUGCUCAAAGUUUUGUACUGUAGUAAAGUUAAUUGGAAGAGUAACGAGCAUUACCAGUGUGAUUCAGCAAGGUGAUCGGCGUGGUGCUGUGAGUGCUGGCCCCAGCUGGGGCCAUGGUAAGGCUACCCGUGCUCAUUCUGCCUGUGCCAGGCAGUACACUGUCCUGUUACAGGCAUCAUUCAAGGGGAAAAACUCCAGAUGCAGUUUCCAAAAUCAACUUGCUAAAAAUCACUGCCAGGGAGAUGGAGUUUGUAGAAGCUUGAGUCAAGACAUGCACGGUCUAAACAUUCAGAAAAAGUGGUACUAAUGAAAGUCAAACCAGAUCUUACUGUUUAUUACAUAAAGUAGCUAGUAAUGGCAUCAUUUGUUCCUAAGGAAAAUGAUAAUUUAAUCAUGUCAUUCAGAAGGAACAUGAUUAUUCAAAAACAAGGCUCAUCACAUGACAAUUAACUGCACUGAAGGCCUGUUCCUUUCAUGUAAUGGGUUUACAAGUGGAUGCUUUAGUCAAUGAUCUCCAUUGCCACAUGCUGUGUUUAGGCAAUCCGGUCACCUCCAACUUUUGUAGCUAUACUAUUUCCACUCCUGUGUGCAGGUUUGCAUUAGCCCCUGUUACAGCUACACAGCACCUGAAGGCUUUUCUGAGAGACUGCAGUGACUUGAAGAGACUCAUAAAGGACACACAAACUUAUACCAGUGCCGUUUUAUACUACAAGAUCGGUUAUGUGGUGGUUACCAAAAAUUUGGUACUGUUAUGAGCUGUGAAGAUUAAGUUUCUUAAAAAGCAACAUGUUCUGCGUACUGGUCUUGUUUUUCUAAGUAAAUGAUCUGAGAGGCUGGCAA
Molecule: non-coding RNA, 2510 nt
Organism: Meleagris gallopavo (turkey)
Lineage: Eukaryota; Metazoa; Chordata; Aves; Galliformes; Phasianidae
Source: RefSeq, a predicted model, not a curated record